UGGGGGAUAUUGCACAAUGGGCGAAAGCCUGAUGCAGCGAUGCCGCGUGGAGGAAGAAGGUCUUCGGAUUGUAAACUCCUGUCUUUAGGGACGAUAAUGACGGUACCUAAGGAGGAAGCUCCGGCUAACUACGUGCCAGCAGCCGCGGUAAUACGUAGGGAGCGAGCGUUGUCCGGAAUUACUGGGUGUAAAGGGAGCGUAGGCGGGGCGGCAAGUCAGGUGUGAAAUUUAUGGGCUUAACCCAUAACCUGCAUUUGAAACUGUCGCUCUUGAGUGAAGAAGAGGUUGGCGGAAUUCCUAGUGUAGCGGUGAAAUGCGUAGAUAUUAGGAGGAACACCAGUGGCGAAGGCGGCCAACUGGGCUUUUACUGACGCUGAGGCUCGAAAGCGUGGGGAGCAAACAGG
This 404-nucleotide ribosomal RNA is filed under the name uncultured bacterium. RNAcentral describes it as "bacterial SSU rRNA". It matches the Rfam family "Bacterial small subunit ribosomal RNA", at positions 355 to 776 of the family's 1533-position model. The record is from RNAcentral. RNAcentral also lists the same sequence under 2 other names.